This 825-nucleotide ribosomal RNA is filed under the name Triticum aestivum (bread wheat). Its description in RNAcentral is "partial small subunit ribosomal RNA". The record is from RNAcentral. Lineage: Eukaryota; Viridiplantae; Streptophyta; Magnoliopsida; Poales; Poaceae.
AUGUCGUCGCUGGACAUACCCAGCCUCCGGCGAGCCGGUGCCGUCUGCAGGUCCUGGCGCGCGGCGCACAACGCCUUCUGCCUCCCCGCGCUGGAGCGAGCGCCGUGCCUGUUCUACGCCUGCGAGGAGUACGGGCCCAACGACGCCGCACUCUACUGCCCCGCCACCGGCGCCACCUUCCGGGUCCCCUUCCCGGGGCCCCCGCAUGAGAGGCGGGGCUUCACCUUCGCGUGCCACGGCGGCUGGCUGUUUACCACCGACGAGGCCGGCGACCCUUACCUCCUCAACCCCGUCACCGGCGCCCAGGCCACGCUCCCUCCGGUCAAAACUAUCUACCAGAACGACGAAUUCUAUGACGACGGUGGCAAGCAUGUCUGGUCUGCUGACCCCGAGAACGGGAUCAUGAAACCCAGCAUCAGCUGGGCGCGACACCUGGUGUUCCUUCGGGUUGCCAUCUCUACGACCGCCGAUGUGACGGAAUGCACCGUCCUCAUCGUGCAUAAUCCGAAGUGGAGACUCUCUUUUGCCAGGCCGGGAGACGACCGGUGGACACUGGUCUCCCAGGAUGGAGGCUACAUUGACAACGUUCUUUACAAUGACAAGGAUGGCUUGUUCUACAUUUUGUAUGCGAAUGGCUCUAUUGGUACUUUAAAUCUUUGUGAGCCUUCACCAUCAGUAACCAUGAUCAUGCGCAGCGUGUUACCCUCGUUAGGAUAUCAUACCAUGUAUCCUGUCAUCGGUCCAUCGGGUGAACUCCUGCAGGUCUGGAGGGACUGGAGUCACAUAGAUACUCUACUCAAGUAUCGUGCUAGAGACAGAAGAUAG